This 73-nucleotide transfer RNA is filed under the name Methanobrevibacter millerae. Its description in RNAcentral is "tRNA_Ile_GAT". It matches the Rfam family "tRNA". Rfam says of the family: Transfer RNA (tRNA) molecules are approximately 80 nucleotides in length. Their secondary structure includes four short double-helical elements and three loops (D, anti-codon, and T loops). Lineage: Archaea; Methanobacteriati; Methanobacteriota; Methanobacteria; Methanobacteriales; Methanobacteriaceae. The record is from RNAcentral.
GGGUCUGUGGCCUAGAUGGUAAGGCGCAUUGCUGAUAACGAUGAGACCGUGGGUUCGAAUCCCGCCAGACCCC